AGAGUUUGAUCCUGGCUCAGGACGAACGCUGGCGGCGUGCUUAAAACAUGCAAGUCGAACGGACUUCUCAUGAAGCUUGCGAUUGAGAAGUUAGUGGCGGACGGGUGAGUAACGCGUGGGCAACCUGCCCCUGAGCCCGGGAUAACAGUUCGAAAGGACUGCUAAGACCGGAUAUACUUGCGGUGAAGCAUUUCACUGCAAGGAAAGGGAACGCUCAGGGAUGGGCCCGCGUCCCAUUAGCUAGUUGGUGAGGUAACGGCCCACCAAGGCGACGAUGGGUAGCCGGCCUGAGAGGGUGAACGGCCACACUGGGACUGAGACACGGCCCAGACUCCUACGGGAGGCAGCAGUUGGGAAUCUUCGGCAAUGGGCGCAAGCCUGACCGAGCAACGCCGCGUGAGUGAUGAAGGUUUUCGGAUUGUAAAGCUCUGUCUUCCGGGACGAUAAUGACGGUACCGGAGGAGGAAGCCACGGCUAACUACGUGCCAGCAGCCGCGGUAAUACGUAGGUGGCGAGCGUUGUCCGGAAUUACUGGGCGUAAAGGAUGCGUAGGCGGCCUCUUAAGUGGGAUGUGAAAUGCCGGGGCUUAACCCCGGAGGUGCAUUCCAUACUGGGAGGCUAGAGUGCAGGAGAGGAAAGCGGAAUUCCCAGUGUAGCGGUGAAAUGCGUAGAGAUUGGGAGGAACACCAGUGGCGAAGGCGGCUUUCUGGACUGUAACUGACGCUGAGGCAUGAAAGUGUGGGGAGCAAACAGGAUUAGAUACCCUGGUAGUCCACACCGUAAACGAUGGGCACUAGGUGUAGGGGGCGUAGCCCUCUGUGCCGCAGUUAACACAUUAAGUGCCCCGCCUGGGGAGUACGAUCGCAAGAUUAAAACUCAAAGGAAUUGACGGGGGCCCGCACAAGCAGCGGAGCAUGUGGUUUAAUUCGAAGCAACGCGAAGAACCUUAC
This 950-nucleotide ribosomal RNA is filed under the name uncultured bacterium. RNAcentral describes it as "bacterial SSU rRNA". It matches the Rfam family "Bacterial small subunit ribosomal RNA", at positions 8 to 974 of the family's 1533-position model. The record is from RNAcentral.